Molecule: unclassified non-coding RNA, 1000 nt
Filed under: Hevea brasiliensis (rubber tree)
Lineage: Eukaryota; Viridiplantae; Streptophyta; Magnoliopsida; Malpighiales; Euphorbiaceae
Source: RNAcentral
GUAGAAAAACUGCAUAUAAGGGAAAAAGGAAAUGGUGGCUUCAAUUUCAACACUGAUAGAAAAAGUUCAUCUUUACACAACAGCAGAAAGACCAAAUGCUUUCUGUAGAACAAUCAGUGAAGCAGCAAUAUUCAAAUAAUCAGGGGAAAAAAAAUCAAGAUACUACAUAUGCAAGCAUGAUAACUCUUAUGCUCUUCUAUAUCUCCAUGAAUCCAGAAACUUUUGCUUUGCCUUAUAUCAUUUGGUCUAUGCAGUAGAACUUAUAACAUUCGAGAUUAUGCAGGACAAUUAUACGCGACAGAUCCUUUUUUGGCUCUCUUUAGCCCUAUAUCUCUUAUCCUUGGCAGGUUUUCCUCAACUAGUAGGUUUUUUUAGAAAACUCCAUUUAUUCUGGUGUGGAUGGCAGGCGCACCUAUACUUCUUGGUUUGAUCCAAUGGAUUCAUUAUUAAAGAAUAAAAAUGACGACAUUGCAGUGCUAUACGCAUUGUUGUUCGAAAGCUUUUUCAGGGUUCUUUCCAUCAAUUUUUGAGUGGUGAGGGAAAUCAUACGGCAUUUCUUCAGCAGAGAGCUGUGCAUCAUUGAACACUCUUACAACCUCUUGAUAGACUACCGCAUUACCUUCUGGUGUCAAGUGCAAGCCAUCACUCAGAAAUUUUUUCUGCCAACCCUCUGUUUCCUGCAUCUUGUACCAUAUAUCAAUGGAGCAAAUUCCCAAGUCCUUUGCUAACUCAACACAUUGCCUUGCAUAAACUCCUGCCAUUUCAUUUGUCCUUUCUGGCAGUUCCAUAGCUUUGUCACCAUAAACAGAUUUGGCAAACUGUUUGCGCCCUUCUUCAUCAAUAGGUGGUGGAGUAAUAAGCACAAUUAACAUGGUGGGCGAGCACUCCUUCAAAUGCUGAACAAUUUUCCUUAGAUUCUCCUUGUAUUCCUCCACAGGAACAUGUUGCCUAUCACUAGUUCUCCCUUUUAAAGCUGCAUCGUUAGCCCCAAAGAAUAUUG